RNAcentral lists this ribosomal RNA (253 nucleotides) under uncultured bacterium. RNAcentral describes it as "partial 16S ribosomal RNA". It matches the Rfam family "Bacterial small subunit ribosomal RNA", at positions 524 to 776 of the family's 1533-position model. The record is from RNAcentral.
UACGGGGGGGGCAAGCGUUGUUCGGAAUUACUGGGCGUAAAGGGCGCGUAGGCGGUCAGAUAAGUCAGCUGUGAAAACCUCGGGCUUAACCCGAGGCCUGCAGUUGAAACUGUUUGGCUGGAGUGUGGGAGAGGAGAGUGGAAUUCCCGGUGUAGCGGUGAAAUGCGUAGAUAUCAGGAGGAACACCGAUGGCGAAGGCAGGUCUCUGGGCCGAUACUGACGCUGAGGAGCGAAAGCGUGGGGAGCGAACAGG